This 477-nucleotide ribosomal RNA is filed under the name uncultured bacterium. RNAcentral describes it as "partial 16S ribosomal RNA". It matches the Rfam family "Bacterial small subunit ribosomal RNA", at positions 28 to 523 of the family's 1533-position model. The record is from RNAcentral.
GACGAACGCUGGCGGCGUGCUUAACACAUGCAAGUCGAACGGUGACGAAGAGCUUGCUCUUCUGAUCAGUGGCGAACGGGUGAGUAACACGUGAGCAACCUACCCUUGACACUGGGAUAACAGUUGGAAACAGCUGCUAAUACCGGAUAUGAACCUCACAGGCAUCUGAAAGGUUGGAAAGCUCCGACGGUCAAGGAUGGGCUCGCGGCCUAUCAGCUUGUUGGUGAGGGAACGGCUCACCAAGGCGACGACGGGUAGCCGGCCUGAGAGGGCGACCGGCCACACUGGGACUGAGAUACGGCCCAGACUCCUACGGGAGGCAGCAGUGGGGAAUAUUGCGCAAUGGGCGAAAGCCUGACGCAGCAACGCCGCGUGCGGGAUGACGGCCUUCGGGUUGUAAACCGCUUUCAGCAGGGACGAAACUGACGGUACCUGCAGAAGAAGCACCGGCUAACUACGUGCCAGCCGCCGCGGUAA